AAAAAAUAAAAAUGAUAAAAAUGCAUUGCACAUAAUCGAUCCAUCUCACAAUGAAUCUAGAAUAUACACAACAACUCAAUAUGUUACAUUAAUCAUAGUUCAAAUAAAUCACAUAUAUGUACUUCAUAUACAAAUCUGUCUAUAAUUAGCAUACAACGGCUGAAGGUCACUGAAAUAGAAGUGCACAUCUAAUAAAACAUAAGUCCUUCAACUAUAUAUGGAGAAAUAGGAGCUCAUUUGUCACUCAAUCAUAGCUUGGAUUGCAAGCUUCUCUUACAGAUUACCCUGCACCAAAUAGACUCAUUGCUCUGUUAAAAAAAGAAUAGACUCGUUGAAGUAUGAUUGUGCAAGAACUAGAUCAUUAUCUAGAUGAUACAAAAGUACAUAUUCGACAUAUCAGUUUCUCAAAUUAACUUGGCCAAACCUUGGCUCCAUUCCUCUAAAGUUAUCACAUAAUAACUGAGUGAAACUAUAAGACACAUAAUUGUAUAAAAAUUGACAACAAAUGCAUGAGUAAUGUUGUUUUGAGAAAAUAGUAAUACCUAGCCUCAAAAGGAUGCGCCUGCUGAAUAUAACAGUUCUGCAAUGAAAGAACACAUGUACAAAUUCAUUGUUUUUCAAUACGUGGAUAAGCAAUCAACAAAGAACAUGGAGAAUCAGGAUACAACUCAGCCUAAUUUGCAAACCACUCGACAAUAAUGGGGAGUUAAGUUUCUGCAUUUCAGUCUUCCAAAGUCAUUUAUAUGGAUCUGUGCUACACUUUAGUCUAGUGUGUACUACUUACAAUUUUAAGUAGCAUCUAUAUAAUUAGUGAGAGCACUAGGGCAGGCUCCACACCAAUACAGCUGGAACAUAUAAUAAGAAAAUAUAUCUUUUCUGGAAUAUGCACGAGUGUGUGUAUCAUAUACUAUUAAAGAAGAAGAGGGGGAAGAGCCCCAUCCACAAUAGUUACAUGACUGACGGCAUACAGUAUGUUCCAAGAAGAAUGUAGUAAUAAGAUUAACUAAAUUAAGAUGACAUACAGUAUAGCCUAUGACAGGAGCCCCUCAACAUAUGUUUGUCUUGUUAAUUGUUAUUACAGAACAUGCAUUUCUCAUGCAUAGCUACUGGUAAAUGGCAUUUCCAGGUAUAGUUUCAUUGUCAAUACUCUAAACUAUAAUGUCUAGGUACAUAGAUGUUCUUGAGCAUACUAGAGAUAUCAUGAUCUCACAAUAUCAAAAACUUGUAUCAAAAUUAAUCAUUACUUAAGUUUGAGACAUGUUGAGAAAUAACAGUAUAACCAUACCUUUGAUAAAAGCAGAGGAUAUUACACCUCUCAUAGAUCGAUCUCGAACCUUAAAUCUUACUCCUGAUCAAGAUUAAUUGCAAAUAGGAAAAUGAGAUCUCAAAAGGGUACAUACAAGAUCAAGUUGAUCUGUUAGACAGUUGAUGACUCGGUCGUCUCAAUCAUAUAAUCAUGUGAAUGUAUGGAAAUGUGAACAUGUACAUAAAUCGAAAUGAAUGAAAUAUCAAUCUACAAAUUAAUCAUCGAGCUGCAAACGACACAUAUGGAACAUCAUUGCAGAAACCUUUCUCACAUAUUUUAAUAAGUACAGACUGUGUAC
This 1604-nucleotide long non-coding RNA is filed under the name Triticum aestivum (bread wheat). RNAcentral describes it as "long non-coding RNA (TAES_LNC011225)". The record is from RNAcentral. Lineage: Eukaryota; Viridiplantae; Streptophyta; Magnoliopsida; Poales; Poaceae.